This 504-nucleotide ribosomal RNA is filed under the name uncultured bacterium. RNAcentral's name for it is "partial 16S ribosomal RNA". It matches the Rfam family "Bacterial small subunit ribosomal RNA", at positions 29 to 523 of the family's 1533-position model. The record is from RNAcentral.
AUUGAACGCUGGCGGCAGGCCUAACACAUGCAAGUCGAACGGUAGCACAGAGAGCUUGCUCUCGGGUGACGAGUGGCGGACGGGUGAGUAAUGUCUGGGAAACUGCCCGAUGGAGGGGGAUAACUACUGGAAACGGUAGCUAAUACCGCAUAACGUCGCAAGACCAAAGUGGGGGACCUUCGGGCCUCACACCAUCGGAUGUGCCCAGAUGGGAUUAGCUAGUAGGUGGGGUAAUGGCUCACCUAGGCGACGAUCCCUAGCUGGUCUGAGAGGAUGAACAGCCACACUGGAACUGAGACACGGGCCAGACUCCUACGGGGGGCAGCAGUGGGGAAUAUUGCACAAUGGGCGCAAGCCUGAUGCAGCCAUGCCGCGUGUAUGAAGGAGGCCUUCGGGUUGUAAAGUACUUUCAGCGGGGAGGAAGGCGGUGAAGUUAAUAGCUUCACCGAUUGACGUUACCCGCAGAAGAAGCACCGGCUAACUCCGUGCCAGCAGCCGCCGCGG